UUUUGGCACCACGACCUUCGGGCGCUUAUUUUUGGGCACGGCUUUGCCCGCGGCUUAUUUUUGGUGCCCCGAGGCCCCUCGCAAAGUCUCGCCCCAUUCCGAGUCCGGCGGACGAACUUCGCCCGCGCCCCCCACCAAGGCUAUAGCCCACCCGUUUUUUGGCCAUUUUUCCGCUGGGGGGUUUUGGCACCAAGACCUUCGGGCGCUUAUUUUUGGGCGCGGCUUUGACCUGCGGCUUAUUUUUGGCACCCCGAGGCCCCUCGCAAAGUCUCGCCCCAUUCCGAGUCCGGAGGACGAACUUCGCCCGCGCCCCCCACCAAGGCUAUAGCCCACCCGUUUUUUGGCUAUUUUUCCGCUGGGGGGUUUUGGCACCACGACCUUCGGGUGCUUAUUUUUGGACGCGGCUGUGCCCGCGACUUCCCGCGGGCACCUCGAGGCCCCUCGUAAAGUCUCGCCCCAUUCCGAGUCCGGCGGACGAACUUCGCCCGCGCCCCCCACCAAGGCUAUAGCCCACCCGUUUUUUGGCCAUUUUUCCGCUGGGGGGUUUUGGCACCACGAACUUCGGGCGCUUAUUUUUGGACGCGGCUGUGCCCGCGACUUCCCGCGGGCACCCCGAGGCCCCUCGCAAAGUCUCGCCCCAUUCCGAGUCCGGCGGACGAACUUCGCCCGCGCCCCCCACCAAGGCUAUAGCCCACCCGUUUUUUGGCCAUUUUUCCGCUGGGGGGUUUUGGCACCACGACCUUCGGGCGCUUAUUUUUGGACGCGGCUGUGCCCGCGACUUCCCGCGGGCACCCCGAGGCCCCUCGCAAAGUCUCGCCCCAUUCCGAGUCCGGCGGACGAACUUCGACCGCGCCCCCCACCAAGGCUAUAGCCCACCCGUUUUUUGGCCAUUUUUCCGCUGGGGGGUUUUGGCACCACGACCUUCGGGCGCUUAUUUUUGGACGCGGCUGUGCCCGCGACUUCCCGCGCGCACCUCGAGGCCCCUCGCAAAGUCUCACCCCAUUCCAAGUCCGGCGGACGAACUUCGCCCGCGCCCCCCACCAAGGCUAUAGCCCACCCGUUUUUUGGCCAUUUUUCCGCUGGGGGGUUUUGGCACCACGACCUUUGGGCACAUAUUUUUGGGCGCGGCUUUGUCCGCGGCUUAUUUUUGGUACCCCGAGGCCCCUCGCAAAGUCUCGCCCUAUUCCGAGUCCGGCGGACGAACUUCGCCCGCGCCCCCCACCAAGGCUAUAGCCCACCCGUUUUUUGGCCAUUUUUCCGCUGGGGGGUUUUGGCACCACGACCUUCGGGUGCUUAUUUUUGGGCGCGGCUUUGGCCGCGGCUUAUUUUUGGUACCCCGAGGCCCCUCGCAAAGUGUCGCCCUAUUCCGAGUCCGGCGGACGAACUUCGCCCGCGCCCCCCACCAAGGCUAUAACCCACCCGUUUUUUGGCCAUUUUUCCGCUUGGGGGUUUUGGCACCACGACCUUCGGGCGCUUAUUUUUGGACGCGAUUGUGCCCGCGACUUCCCGCGGGCACCUCGAGGCCCCUCGCAAAGUCUCGCCCCAUUCCAAGUCCGGCGGACGAACUUCGCCCGCGCCCCCCACCAAGGCUAUAGCCCACCCGUUUUUUGGCCAUUUUUCCGCUGGGGGGUUUUGGCACCACGACCUUUGGGCACAUAUUUUUGGGCGCGGCUUUGUCCGCGGCUUAUUUUUGGUACCCCGAGGCCCCUCGCAAAGUCUCGCCCUAUUCCGAAUCCGGCGGACGAACUUCGCCCGCGCCCCCCACCAAGGCUAUAGCCCACCCGUUUUUUGGCCAUUUUUCCGCUAUGGGGUUUUGGCACCACGACCUUCGGGCACUUAUUUUUGGACGCGGCUGUGCCCGCGACUUCCCGCGGGCACCCCGAGGCCCCUCGCACAGUCUCGCCCCAUUCCGAGUCCGGCGGACGAACUUCGCCCGCGCCCCCCACCAAGGCUAUAGCCCACCCGUUUUUUGGCCAUUUUUCCGCUGGGGGGUUUUGGCACCACGACCUUCGGGUGCUUAUUUUUGGACGCGGCUGUGCCCGCGACUUCCCGCGGGCACC
This 2060-nucleotide long non-coding RNA is filed under the name Citrus x clementina. RNAcentral describes it as "Citrus clementina (C. clementina) long non-coding RNA (CCLE_LNC006396)". Lineage: Eukaryota; Viridiplantae; Streptophyta; Magnoliopsida; Sapindales; Rutaceae. The record is from RNAcentral.